UCCUUCGGGAGGUGGGCGAGUGGCGAACGGGUGCGUAACACGUAGGAAUCUGCCCCAAAGAGGGGGAUAACCGAUGGAAACGGUGGCUAAUCCCGCAUACCCUCGCGAGAGGAAAGCUCCGGCGCUUUGGGAUGAGCCUGCGGCCUAUCAGGUAGUUGGUGGGGUAACGGCCCACCAAGCCGACGACGGGUAGGGGGCGUGAGAGCGUGGCCCCCCACACGGGAACUGAGACACGGUCCCGACGCCUACGGGCGGCAGCAGUGAGGAAUCUUGCACAAUGGGGGCAACCCUGAUGCAGCGACGCCGCGUGCGGGAAGAAGGCCUUCGGGUCGUAAACCGCUUUUCUGGGGGAAGAGGAAGAACGGUACCCCAGGAAUAAGUCCCGGCUAACUACGUGCCAGCAGCCGCGGUAAAACGUAGGGGGCGAGCGUUAUCCGGAAUUACUGGGCGUAAAGGGCGUCUAGGCGGCACGCCAAGUCUCGCGUGAAAGCUCCCGGCUCAACUGGGAGAGGGCGCGGGAAACUGGCGAGCUAGAGACUCGGAGGGGGGUGUGGAAUUCCCGGUGGAGUGGUGAAAUGCGUUGAGAUCGGGAGGAACACCCGUGGCGAAGGCGGCACCCUGGCCGAGGUCUGACGCUGAAGCGCGACAGCGUGGGGAGCAAACGGGAUUAGAUACCCCGGUAGUCCACGCCGUAAACGAUGACAACUAGGUGUCGGGUGUCCAAGGACGUUCGGUACCGCAGCUAACGCGUUAAGUUGUC
Molecule: ribosomal RNA, 760 nt
Filed under: uncultured bacterium
Lineage: Bacteria
Description: bacterial SSU rRNA
Rfam family: Bacterial small subunit ribosomal RNA
Source: RNAcentral